This 87-nucleotide transfer RNA is filed under the name Ruminococcus sp. Its description in RNAcentral is "tRNA-Leu". It matches the Rfam family "tRNA". From Rfam's summary of the family: Transfer RNA (tRNA) molecules are approximately 80 nucleotides in length. Their secondary structure includes four short double-helical elements and three loops (D, anti-codon, and T loops). Further hydrogen bonds mediate the characteristic L-shaped molecular structure. tRNAs have two regions of fundamental functional importance: the anti-codon, which is responsible for specific mRNA codon recognition, and the 3' end, to which the tRNAs corresponding amino acid is attached (by aminoacyl-tRNA synthetases). tRNAs cope with the degeneracy of the genetic code in two manners: having more than one tRNA (with a specific anti-codon) for a particular amino acid; and 'wobble' base-pairing, i.e. permitting non-standard base-pairing at the 3rd anti-codon position. RNAcentral also lists the same sequence under 2 other names. The record is from RNAcentral. Lineage: Bacteria; Bacillati; Bacillota; Clostridia; Eubacteriales; Oscillospiraceae.
GCAGGUAUGGCGGAAUCGGCAGACGCGCUAGCUUCAGGUGCUAGUGGGGGCAACCUCGUGGAAGUUCAAGUCUUCUUACCUGCACCA